AUUGGCGUCUUACCAGACAUGGUUAGAUCUAAUUAUCCCUGUCUAAUACUGUCUGGUAAUGCCGUCCAU
Molecule: microRNA precursor, 69 nt
Filed under: Salmo salar (Atlantic salmon)
Lineage: Eukaryota; Metazoa; Chordata; Actinopteri; Salmoniformes; Salmonidae
Also listed under: 4 other names
Description: mir-8/mir-141/mir-200 microRNA precursor family
Rfam family: mir-8/mir-141/mir-200 microRNA precursor family
About the family: The bounds of the precursors are predicted based on conservation and base pairing and are not generally known.
Source: Rfam by way of RNAcentral